Molecule: transfer RNA, 66 nt
Filed under: Aleurocanthus spiniferus (citrus spiny whitefly)
Lineage: Eukaryota; Metazoa; Arthropoda; Insecta; Hemiptera; Aleyrodidae
Description: tRNA-Ile
Source: RNAcentral
UUUAAAGUGCCUGAUAAAAGGGCCAUUGUGAUACAAUGAUAAAUACAAUACAGAUUGUCUUUAGAU